GUUUUAGCCGUUUCAAUUACGCAAAGUCGCGAACCGCGUACGCCGUGUGAUUUUUACACUAAAUUCCCAAAUCUACCCCCCACCGAUCAAAACGCUCAAAUUACGGUCUCAGAUUUUUCCUUCCUUAGAAUAUCGGUCUCAGUUCCAGACACCUCUAUAAAUUAAGGCCGCGCGGCCUCAUUCGCAUCCGUGUCUCCCUCUCAGAUCUCUCUCUCUCUCUCUCUCUCUCUCGUUCGCUUGCUCGCUCUUGCAAAGAUAGUAUAUUCAAAACAAUUUAGUUGGUGCUCAUGGGAACUGCUGUUGAAGCUUCAAACGAGAAGGCUAAUGGAAGCAUAGCUGAGAAGAAGCCUACAGUUGUUUUUGUCUUAGGAGGCCCAGGCAGUGGAAAGGGUACCCAAUGUGCGAAUAUUGUUCAACACUUUGGUUAUACCCAUCUCAGUGCUGGUGAUCUUCUCCGAGCAGAAAUCAAAUCUGGUUCUGAAAAUGGUACCAUGAUUCAGAACAUGAUUAAAGAAGGAAAGAUUGUUCCCUCAGAGGUAACCAUUAAGCUUCUCCAACGAGCAAUAGAGGAAAAUGGUAAUGACAAAUUUCUUAUCGAUGGUUUUCCUCGUAAUGAGGAAAAUCGAGCGGCAUUUGAGGACGUCACAAAAAUCGAGCCAGCUUUUGUCUUGUUUUUUGAUUGUUCUGAAGAAGAGAUGGAGAGGCGGCUUUUGAGUAGGAACCAGGGAAGGGAAGAUGAUAACAUUGAAACAAUUAGGAAGCGCUUUAAGGUUUUCUUGGAGUCUAGUCUCCCUGUUAUUGAGCAUUAUGAUUCGAGGGGAAAGGUUCGAAAGAUUGAUGCUGCAAAGCCUGUUGAAGAGGUUUUUGAGUCGGUUAAAGCUUUUUUCACCUCUAAAAAUGAGAAGGCUGACUGAGAGCUGCAUAUCUACCUGAAAUUUCAGACAAUAUAUCUCUAUUGAGGUAGAUCAGGAUUGAACAUGGCUAUUCUUCACCCUGAAAUCAACGAUUUUGUUUUUUGCUCUUCCAAUUUUUUGACUUCUAUGGUUCUUGCGAACUGGAGCGGAUGUUAAAAGGUUAUGUAUUGUUGGCUGCGUAUGAUUGUAUUCUAUUAAGGAUGUUAUACCUCCCAUUUGUUCCUUAUUACAGAAGAUUGUACCUCUAUAUCUUUACUAUUGUGAUUGUAUUUUCAAUUACAUUAUUAAUAUUCUAGUAACAGCAAUAAGGCUCUUUUCACA
Alnus glutinosa is the source of this 1235-nucleotide RNA transcript. It is a transcript of the gene named UMP-CMP kinase 3-like, with no coding region annotated. The record is from RefSeq and is a predicted model, not a curated record. The transcript has 11 exons. Lineage: Eukaryota; Viridiplantae; Streptophyta; Magnoliopsida; Fagales; Betulaceae.